GCGGAAAGUCAAAUGUGAAAGUCUCCCUUCACGAAUCUCACAGCCAACCAUUAAUAAUUAGAUUUGUAUCCUUUAACAUUUUUUUUCUAUGUACAUACAGGCAUUUGAAAUAAAAGAGCCCUUCAUGUUAUGUCUGUUACAGAACCAGGAAGAUCCUGAUAAAGACACUGCACUCCACCCAGAUUCCCUUGGAGUCUAUGCGCUGUUUCUGGGCUCAUCCUCCAGCCUCAGUGUGUUUGCUAUUAGAGAGUUACUUUGUCCCUGAUAGCCCACCUUUGGAAUGUUUGGCCACCUUCAUUGCGGUCAGUGACUGAGGUGCCUGCCAACUGGCCCCUUCAGGUGUCAGGACUGGACUCUGGGAAGGCUUGAUGUGUCUUUCUCUGGGCAUCAGAAGGAUGUGCCCCCAAGCUGCACCACUGCGGAUGGAAGUGGACAAGAAGGACUUGGUUUUGUUGAGGAUCUGGAAGACAUCACUGACUUAGUUUCCUGGGGCUGCCGUAACAAAGUGCCACAAACUGGGUGACUUCAAACAACAGAAUCUCACUGUCUCACAGU
This 555-nucleotide long non-coding RNA is filed under the name Papio anubis (olive baboon). RNAcentral's name for it is "lncRNA (ENSPANG00000047116.1)". Lineage: Eukaryota; Metazoa; Chordata; Mammalia; Primates; Cercopithecidae. The record is from RNAcentral.